AAUUCAACAGAAAUGACAAAGAAAGGAAACCAGAACCAACAUUAAAAACACCCUCUUCGGCACAAGAAAAGAUGGGUAUUCGGUCACCAGCACUAUCAGUUUCAGCAGCUGUGAAAAAAGACCUGAGAGACAAUAUCAUAGUUAAGAACCCAAAGUUCACCAUUAGAACUGGCACCAACAAGUCUGACAUCAGCUUUGUUCCCAAAACCCUUUGGGGAAGACAUCUCACCAACAGUCCACAACACACUGAGAAGAAGAAGGGAACACUUUGACAAAAAGACGACUCGCAAGGACUUCACACACUUCAACAAGAGCAUCCCAGAGCUGAAUGGGAUUGAACGACUGG
Molecule: long non-coding RNA, 346 nt
Organism: Sinocyclocheilus grahami
Lineage: Eukaryota; Metazoa; Chordata; Actinopteri; Cypriniformes; Cyprinidae
Exons: 3
Source: RefSeq, a predicted model, not a curated record